Long non-coding RNA from Paramisgurnus dabryanus, 1196 nucleotides. RefSeq lists it as uncharacterized. The record is from RefSeq and is a predicted model, not a curated record. Lineage: Eukaryota; Metazoa; Chordata; Actinopteri; Cypriniformes; Cobitidae.
ACCUUAUUUUUCACGACAACAAGGGCGGCGCCAUUUCGCUCAUUUUGUCAACGUUCUUCCGGCCGCAUAGACGAUGAGCAGCUGAGGCAGUGACUGAAGGCGACGUGUUAAGCUUAAAAAGCUCACUCGAGCGCCUUUAUGUUUCUUUCUUACCAAUUUUAAGCCAACUGAGGAACACCCUUAUCCCAAGUAAUGGUUCGACUACGAUGUUCCGGUAACUUUAAACCACGCCUAGUGUUGAAAAGGUGGCCAGUUUCAGAUGCAUUGAUGUGUAGUGAUGCAGUGGACAACUGUGAGGAUGAUAUUCAAUGUCAACAUGUUCCUAAACUGUGAUGCAGAAACACAAUGGGAGCAUCUAUCCGUCUCUGACCACAACUACACUUUAAAAUCACAACUCAACCUGAAGCAACAUACAUCUGAUAUGGGAAAACAAUGGUGCGGUUUCCCGGACAGGGCUUAUCCUGGUCCCAGGCUAAAAUGCAUAUUUGAGCUACAAUAAUUUAAAAACACCUUUUACUGACAUACCUCAACAUAUAUUAGUGCCAUUGUUUUGUCACAAGAUGCCCACCAGUCUUGUUUUUUGUAGGAUUUGUUUGUAAAAACUAAAAUGCCCUAAUAUAAUUAAGGCAUAGUCCUGUAAACCCUGUCCGAGAAACUGCUUCAAUGCUUCUGCUUCAUGUGUUGAGCUGGCACAAAUGUACAUAUCUCUGCUGAGAAACAACCAUCUUUGGUUCAGCUUUACACAGGGUUGAUAUUGCAUCCAUUACACAGUCGCCAAGCACUUUACCAGUACAUACACCAACAGCUUCCAGAUAAACACUUGGGAUCAGCUCCUGAUGACUCCGAUAAAGCUGUCUUAAUUUAUUGCAGGGUGGUCUUGCUUUACUGGUUGUAAAGUUACAUUAAACCUUCAUAUGUGAUCAGAUGUCAUGCAGUGAUAUUAAACAUUUACAGUGUGAUCAGAUGUUGUGCAUUUAUAUUAAAUCUUUACAAUGUCAUCAUGUUGUGCAUUUAUAUUAAAUCUUUACAAUGUGAUCAGCUGUUACCUGUCAUGCAGUUAUAUUAAACAUUUACAAUGUGAUCAGAUGUUGUGCAUUUAUAUUAAACCUUUACAAUGUGAUCAGAUGUUGUGCAUUUAUAUUAAAUCUUUACAAUGUGAUCAUGUUGUGCAUUUAUAUUAAAUCUUUACAAUGUGA